GACGAACGCUGGCGGCGUGCUUAACACAUGCAAGUCGAACGGAAAGGCCCUGCUUUUGUGGGGUGCUCGAGUGGCGAACGGGUGAGUAACACGUGAGUAACCUGCCCUUGACUUUGGGAUAACUUCAGGAAACUGGGGCUAAUACCGGAUAUGAGCUCCAGCUGCAUGGUGGGGGUUGGAAAGUUUCGGCGGUUGGGGAUGGACUCGCGGCUUAUCAGCUUGUUGGUGGGGUAGUGGCUUACCAAGGCUUUGACGGGUAGCCGGCCUGAGAGGGUGACCGGCCACAUUGGGACUGAGAUACGGCCCAGACUCCUACGGGAGGCAGCAGUGGGGAAUAUUGCACAAUGGGCGGAAGCCUGAUGCAGCAACGCCGCGUGCGGGAUGACGGCCUUCGGGUUGUAAACCGCUUUCGCCUGUGACGAAGCGUGAGUGACGGUAAUGGGUAAAGAAGCACCGGCUAACUACGUG
This 468-nucleotide ribosomal RNA is filed under the name uncultured bacterium. RNAcentral describes it as "partial 16S ribosomal RNA". It matches the Rfam family "Bacterial small subunit ribosomal RNA", at positions 28 to 507 of the family's 1533-position model. The record is from RNAcentral.